GGGGUUUUAUCCUUUUAUAGAAAAAAUCUCAAGCCUAAGUCGUCUGCAGAUAGGGUAAGGAUUUGAGGCAAAAGUGAGAAAAGAGAGGGAAACAAAGACCCAAGUCUCUGGAACAUGUAUAUCCAACCUGGAAGCUGGUCCCUGAACACCUGGAUUUUUUCCCUGCAUUAACCUCAAUGGCCAUAGAUGAAGACUUUGAUAAAUAUCAAUACAGUUGGGACACCUGGGUGAUGGUAGAUUUCUUUGAAAUAUGGCCUAUUCAGAAUAAGAAUGUUUUAGAGACUAUGAGCUCCUGGAGACAGAAGUACAGCUCAUUCUCGGCUGAUUGGAGGAAAUGUCUCUUUCUGGCACUCAACUCUGGCACCAACCCUUUGUAUACUGGUCUUCAAAGAGGUAAUCAAGGUGGGUGCUAA
RNAcentral lists this long non-coding RNA (413 nucleotides) under Mustela putorius furo (domestic ferret). RNAcentral's name for it is "lncRNA (ENSMPUG00000028947.1)". The record is from RNAcentral. Lineage: Eukaryota; Metazoa; Chordata; Mammalia; Carnivora; Mustelidae.